AACCCAGAUUAAUGUCCUAGCUUAACUUUCUAAUUAACCCCAUGGUAAAGUUUGGUAUCAAAUAUUCGCGCGAGCGCAUAUUCAGGAAAAAUAAACAUACUAAUGCCACAUAAAUAUAUCAGAUGUGAAUAAAUAAAUAAAUAUCUACAGGGAUGGGAACGGCACCAGUAGCCACCUCCCUCAGACCUUACUUGACUUGGGGGUAACUCUAGAGCACAGAAAAUAUCUCAGUUGUCCCUAUCCAUUCGGUCAACACCUGCGUACUUAUCCCUCCUAGCUUAAGCUUCUUGAGCCUGUCAUGUACGAGGGAGCAUGCUAUAAAAGCCCAGAUAGAGGCCUCUGAUCAUCACCAAAACUGAGCACUCCUUUUCUGCCUCUUCGGUCUCUUCUCUGCUCAGUAAUUAGUGCAAAAAACUGCUGAAGCUGGGAGGCUGGAAAGUAGCUAGUAGUACUAGUAGAUUGGAGGAGGCGUCGAAUCGAUUCAGAGGUUGCGGAGGAGGAAAAAGGUUUUAAUUAGUAUCAUCCCCGUCCUCACCGCCGUCGAUCGCUAGCGUCGUCCCCUAGCCGGCACCGUACAACCUCGAUGAGUCGACAAUGGAUGUACGGUGACCGAUGCCAUCCCGAGUUCAUUACUGGCAUGCAUUAUUUUCUCAACGUGGCUGAGGCAAACAGCGAGUCGAAUGGUUUCAUGUAUUGUCCAUGUAGUUCCUGUAAGAAUAUGAAGGAUUACUCUACCUCGAAGACCCUUCACGUCCACCUGCUGGAGAAUGGUUUCAUGCCCAGCUAUAAUUGUUGGACCAAGCACGGAGAAAGAGGGGUUAUAUUGGAAGACAACGAAGAAGAAGAGGAUAGUGACAACUAUCCCAGCUUAUUCACUGAAGACGGUGGUAGUAGAAUGGGGGAAGACGAAGCUGAAGAAGAGCUCAUUUUCGAUGAGCCGAUUUUUGAUGACCCGGAUGACGAUUUGGGUCGGGCCAUUCUUGAUGCGAAGAUGAACUGCGGAAAUGAAAAGGAGAGGUUGAAGUUGGAGAAAAUGUUAGAGGAUCACAACAAACUGUUGUACCCAAAUUGCGAAA
Molecule: non-coding RNA, 1076 nt
Organism: Lolium perenne
Lineage: Eukaryota; Viridiplantae; Streptophyta; Magnoliopsida; Poales; Poaceae
Source: RefSeq, a predicted model, not a curated record